CGUUCUGAUCGAUCCCCGCCACCGUCCGCGUGAUCGCGCUUCGCUAGGGUUCGUUCGAGAGAUGAAACAGUCAGCUGUGUCCGUGGUAGUUAGUUGUCUUCAUCAGAGAACUUGCUAGAAUUAUCUGUGCUGCACCUGCUAUUCUGCUCUGGAUCAAAUUGAACCUGAAUCGCUGUUACGUAGUACUAGUAUAAAUUAUAAAAUUUCGGUGAUGUGAUUGUUGAUCUCCGUGUGGAUUCUGGGUUGUGAUGUGGGGGUGUGGAUCUUGGUGGCUGCAUUGCUUGUGAAAAAGGCGAUCCUUUUUGCGUCCUCAUGAGAUGCUGUGGGCAUAACAUGCAGCAGGGAUUUGUGUUCUCUGUUCAUGUUCUUCAGGCAAAUCAUCAGAGGUGUGUGAUAUGAUCUGGAUGCCUCUCGGUAAUCGCUCUAAUUGGGGAAUAUCUCGUCUUGUCAUCAAUGAUUUCAAAGUUUCACUGGGCAUGCUUCUGUUGUUCAACAAUGGGCUCACAGUGGCUAAAUUUUUCAGGUAGAAUCACUCUUGGUGUUUCAUAUUUUAGGUUAUGUGCAUACCUACAGUGGCGGAGCUUAGUGAGGGCCAAAGGGGGCAAUGGCCCUCCAAAUUUAUUUCUUUGUAUAAACUCAUAGUAAUAUUUAAUAAUAUUUGGACAAACUUUAAUAGAAUACACUAGAUUAGGCCCCUCAACUCUAUUUAAGACUCAUUUAGCCCCCUCUCAAAUCGCGUUCAAGCUCCGCCGCUGCAUACGUAUUUGGCAUUGUUCAUCCCAGUUUGCUAUCAGUAUAUCCUUGAGCUUGCGCUUAUGUGUCUUCACUUUUAUGUGAUCUUUGUUGUCGCUCAACUUUUGAGGUUCCUACAAUUACCACUGGUAUUUCCGUGAUGCUAUUUUACUGGGAAUCAAUAAUCUGUGGUGUGUUGUUCAUCCAAGUUGUUACUUGUAUGCCCUGAGCUUGCUUUUAUGUCAUCUUUGUUAUUGCCAGCCCUCUUUCAAGAUUCGUACAAUUGCUGCUGGUAUUUUUGCAAUGCUGUUUUUACUGGGAAUCAAUAACUGCUGGUAUCUCAUAUCUGUAUUUUCGAUGUCGGACAUGUGAAAUGUCGAUCUGGCGUGCUGCUUGGCCCUUGUGCAACAUGUGAUCGUUUCAACUUCGUGAGGUGGUGUCAAUCAUAGGUAGAGGAGUGUUCUUUUGUGCCCAUUUGUCUGGGCAGUUGAUUAAUUAUCGUGGCUUGUGAUCAUUUUAUGGAUGCCUGAAAAUGCCAGUGAAAAAAUGCCUGUUUUCAGUGUUUUGGAAGCUGCACCUUUGAUGCUUGUACUCUUGUUCUUCAUUUUGUAAAUGAUGCCUGAAAAUGCCAGUGAAAAAAUGCCUGUUUUCAGUGUUUUGGAAGCUGCACCUUUGAUGCUUGUACUCUUGUUCUUCAUUUUGUUCCAUAAUGGGAUCGUUCUGCCUCUUGCAGUUUGUCGUGCGCUUCAGUGUUCCGUUCAAUUUCAACGUGUUCUGCCACGUGUGUUAUUGAAUUGAAGAGUAUUUUCCUUUAGCAUGGCGCUCUUCAUUGGUGUCAUUCGUUCAAGAAUUAGAGUGUUGUAGGUUGUUAGCAUACAUAUCUUGACCUUGUUCAUCCAAGGUAGGUGUUAUAUGCAUUUCCCUAGCUUUUGGUUAUAUCAGCUGACUUUUAAUUGCAGUAAGCUUCGUGUUUUUUUUCGUCAGUUCUACUAAUGGUGGUCUUAUCUCAACCCUCGAGAUUUGUCCACGGUGUAGAACCUGGUUAUGGUUGGAAUGUCAAUUUUGUUAACACCCUUUGUUUACGGAACAACUUUUGAUAUAUUGAAGAAUUUCAAUCACUUUAUAACUUGCGUGUGCCAGAUAGGUUGGAUCUCAGUUGCUUCAAUGAAGGAUAUUCGCUGACCACCUUUUUUUUCUGAACUGGUGUUGAUCAGCUUUUGUUUUCCUGAAUAAAAAAACGUGAUUGACAUGGUAAUGUUGUUUUCAAGGACAAAAGGAGUUCGAAUCCAUUUUCUGCAAAGAUUUUUAAAAAGUGUGUGCUUUAAGGAUAAGAAUGUGCAAAUACCCUAGUUACAUAUAUAUAUAUUCCACAGUGCUAUAGUGCCACAUAAGUCUCCAAAAUGUAAGAUUGGUCCAACCGAAAAACGGGAACUGCAGUCAGCGUGUAUAGACUGCAGGUUAAAGCAUGACAAUACAUUCGAAUUAUUCCAAGCUAAGAUUGAAUACGAACAUGUUGAAUGCAAACCGCUUAAUACAGCCCAAAUUGAAUAUUCUGUAACAUGACUGAUAUGGGUGUGCAUGCCACUUGGUUUCUCUUAUUUGUGAAAAUUUUCACGACAUCUUCAGUGAGGUUCCAGACUAGAAGUGUUCCCGAGAGUCAUAGUGCGCUAACAUGAGCAGUAUAGAAAGCAUCAUUGUUGGAAUUUAUUAGUGCAAGUUUGCAGUUUGCAAACCAAACACUAAGGAUAUCAACCACGGUGAAAUAUUUAUUUACAACGCAAAUGCUCACUGCAUAAACAAACUAACUUGGUACAUACAUGCGAAAGCAAAACAUGAACGAAAAAGUAGAGCAAAGAGAUUUCUGCACUGCAUGACUGAAUGAACUACAGACAGGAAAGCUAGAAUUAAACUAAGCGACGGCAUUUUUGGAACCAUGGAAUAGAAGGUUAUACAGCAGCUGCUGAAAUGGCGGUUUUGAGCCUUUUGACGUCAUGUGCAGGUGAACGGGAGACGUUAUCCACGACAGGAUCGACCGAUGCAGGAGCCUUCUCUUCGUACGCCGCAUCAUGCACGCCAAGAGCGGCGCGGCCAGACGGGUCGAGGAGCUCGGACCAGGCGGCGUCCCAUUCGACAGCUUUAGCGGUGCUGCAUGCGAUGCUGGGACCUCCUGGCACCGUUAGCCUAGCAGCAUUCUGCACAAAUUGAAACGUUGAUUUAAGUUUUACGGUGCAGAUGAAAUAGGUCGGAAUAUAACUAUGAGAUUAAAGGCUGGUUGUGGCUUCUGGACCUUGGGAUAGAACUUCUCGAAUACGGUCCUGUAAUAGUAGGCCUCUUUUGUUGUGGGUGUGUUGUCAGGGUAAACAAAGCUGGCGUUCGUCAUCAUGGAAUCCGACACCUGAACAUAAAUAGGAGAUACUGUCAAUUCUGAUGAGGGUAAAAAGUGAAACAAAAGCAUUGUAAGACAAAUAAAUAAACAGAUGUCAGCUAAUGAAUUGUUUGACAAAGAAAAGAUGGUAUACAUGUGCUUUAGCAUGGUCCUUCAACCCAUCAAUCCAACUGUACCCAACACCAUCGCUGAAUUGUUCCUUUUGCCUAUAAAGAAUGUGCUGUUCACAGAAAAUAAAUCUUCCUUAUGAGCAUACGUACAAGCAUGUGCAAGUAACACAGCACAUAUAGCACAAUAAAAGGAUGAACUUCUCCAACCUUGGGUAAAUAGGGCUUCUCCUCGUCAUCAAAUGCAUUACGCAGAACCCAUUUCUCUAUCCGGCCAAGAUCACGUCUUAUCUAUUUUUUUCAAGAUGAUAAAGAUAAGAAGAUGGUAAUGCUAGAUAUAAUAAAUGAAUAGAGCUAGAGUGAGAUUACUAUAUUAUCGCAAGAAAAUACAUACCAUCUUACAUUCAGGAUCCAGGUCCAUUGCUACAUUGAUAAAGCUUUUGUCAAGAAAUGGAACACGAGCCUCAAGACCCCAGGCAGAAGUUGCUUUGUUUGCUCUCAAACAAUCAUAUAAAUGAAGAGCUUUUAUCUAAAUGUCAGGACAAAACAACUCUAGUAAGUCCAUCAGCUGACCAUGUUGUGCAUAUACACCAUGAUAAACUGAAAGAGCAGUUCUGUCUUCAAUUACCUUCCUACACGUCUCCUCAUGGAGUUCCUUCUUGUUUGGUGCCUUAUGAAAAUAAAGAUAACCACCAAAUAUUUCAUCAGAACCUUCUCCUGAAAGAACCAUCUUCACACCCAAUGAUUUGAUUUUCCGAGACAUUAGAAACAUUGGGGUACUUGCUCUAAUGGUCGUUACGUCGUACGUCUCUAUGUGGUAAAUAACUUCUUCCAAUGCAUCAAUGCCCUCCUGGGAUUUAGUCAGAUGAAUUAAUAACUACAAAAUGACCCCUCCUCUAUGCAAAGGACGAAAAAAAA
This 4143-nucleotide long non-coding RNA is filed under the name Triticum aestivum (bread wheat). RNAcentral's name for it is "long non-coding RNA (TAES_LNC027487)". Lineage: Eukaryota; Viridiplantae; Streptophyta; Magnoliopsida; Poales; Poaceae. The record is from RNAcentral.